This 207-nucleotide ribosomal RNA is filed under the name uncultured bacterium. RNAcentral's name for it is "partial 16S ribosomal RNA". It matches the Rfam family "Bacterial small subunit ribosomal RNA", at positions 32 to 213 of the family's 1533-position model. The record is from RNAcentral.
AAUGAAACGCUGGCGGCGUGGUUAAGACAAUGCAAGUCGAACGGUUUUUAAGUUGAAGGGCAACCCGGAUAUGAAAGCAGUGGCGAACGGGUGCGUAACACGUGAACAAUCUACCUCCAAGUGGGGAAUAGCUCGCCGAAAGGCGAAUUAAUACCGCAUGUGGUGGUUUCUCGCAUUGAGAGACUUACUAAAAACAGGGACCGCUAA